AGGGGUGCUGAAGGACUCAUUCAACAUUUAAAUGAUCUCCUCUGGCUGCGCAUCCUCAAACUUAUGACUAAGUUCAUCAUUCAUGGCUGCCCUCAUCACGCAACGUACGGUCAUAUGAUCAUUGAGCCACUUCAUGUAAGUGUCUCUUGUGGCAUGAGGAGCAUUGGCUAUAGGUUCUUCAGGUGUCUGAUCUGUAAGGACAUAUAAAAUCCUCUCAUGCUUCAACACGAUCUUCAACUUUCGAUACCAGCUAUCGAAGUUGGAUUUGGUGAGCCUAUC
Molecule: long non-coding RNA, 279 nt
Filed under: Elaeis guineensis (African oil palm)
Lineage: Eukaryota; Viridiplantae; Streptophyta; Magnoliopsida; Arecales; Arecaceae
Description: long non-coding RNA (EGUI_LNC017365)
Source: RNAcentral